RNAcentral lists this ribosomal RNA (468 nucleotides) under uncultured bacterium. Its description in RNAcentral is "partial 16S ribosomal RNA". It matches the Rfam family "Bacterial small subunit ribosomal RNA", at positions 28 to 507 of the family's 1533-position model. The record is from RNAcentral.
GACGAACGCUGGCGGCGUGCUUAACACAUGCAAGUCGAACGGAAAGGCCCUGCUUUUGUGGGGUGCUCGAGUGGCGAACGGGUGAGUAACACGUGAGUAACCUGCCCUUGACUUUGUGAUAACUUCAGGAAACUGGGGCUAAUACCGGAUAUGAGCUCCUGCUGCAUGGUGGGGGUUGGAAAGUUUCGGCGGUUGGGGAUGGACUCGCGGCUUAUCAGCUUGUUGGUGGGGUAGUGGCUUACCAAGGCUUUGACGGGUAGCCGGCCUGAGAGGGUGACCGGCCACAUUGGGACUGAGAUACGGCCCAGAAUCCUACGGGAGGCAGCAGUGGGGAAUAUUGCACAAUGGGCGGAAGCCUGAUGCAGCAACGCCGCGUGCGGGAUGACGGCCUUCGGGUUGUAAACCGAUUUCGCCUGUGACGAAGAGUGAGUGACGGUAAUGGGUAAAGAAGCACCGGCUAACUACGUG